CCAUCAUUUAAAGAAAGCGUAAUAGCUCACUGGUCGAGUCGGCCUGCGCGGAAGAUGUAACGGGGCUAAACCAUGCACCGAAGCUGCGGCAGCGACGCUGAUGCGUUGUUGGGUAGGGGAGCGUUCUGUAAGCCUGCGAAGGUGUGCUGUGAGGCAUGCUGGAGGUAUCAGAAGUGCGAAUGCUGACAUAAGUAACGAUAAAGCGGGUGAAAAGCCCGCUCGCCGGAAGACCAAGGGUUCCUGUCCAACGUUAAUCGGGGCAGGGUGAGUCGACCCCUAAGGCGAGGCCGAAAGGCGUAGUCGAUGGGAAACAGGUUAAUAUUCCUGUACUUGGUGUUACUGCGAAGGGGGGACGGAGAAGGCUAUGUUGGCCGGGCGACGGUUGUCCCGGUUUAAGCGUGUAGGCUGGUUUUCCAGGCAAAUCCGGAAAAUCAAGGCUGAGGCGUGAUGACGAGGCACUACGGUGCUGAAGCAACAAAUGCCCUGCUUCCAGGAAAAGCCUCUAAGCAUCAGGUAACAUCAAAUCGUACCCCAAACCGACACAGGUGGUCAGGUAGAGA
Molecule: ribosomal RNA, 560 nt
Filed under: Escherichia coli
Lineage: Bacteria; Pseudomonadati; Pseudomonadota; Gammaproteobacteria; Enterobacterales; Enterobacteriaceae
Description: partial 23S ribosomal RNA
Rfam family: Bacterial large subunit ribosomal RNA
Source: RNAcentral